GUGGGGAAUCUUGCGCAAUGGGCGAAAGCCUGACGCAGCAACGCCGCGUGCGGGAUGAAGGCCUUCGGGUUGUAAACCGCUUUCAGCAGGGACGAAAUCAGACGGUACCUGCAGAAGAAGCCCCGGCCAACUACGUGCCAGCAGCCGCGGUAACACGUAGGGGGCGAGCGUUGUCCGGAUUUAUUGGGCGUAAAGAGCUCGUAGGCGGCUUAGUAAGUCGGGUGUGAAACCUCCAGGCUCAACCUGGAGACGCCACCCGAUACUGCUGUGGCUAGAGUCCGGUAGGGGAGCAGGGAACUCCUGGUGUAGCGGUGAAAUGCGCAGAUAUCAGGAAGAACACCAGCGGCGAAGGCGCUGCUCUGGGCCGGAACUGACGCUGAGGAGCGAAAGCGUGGGGAGCAAACAGGAUUAGAAACCCUAGUAGUCC
Molecule: ribosomal RNA, 427 nt
Filed under: uncultured bacterium
Lineage: Bacteria
Description: bacterial SSU rRNA
Rfam family: Bacterial small subunit ribosomal RNA
Source: RNAcentral